RNAcentral lists this ribosomal RNA (298 nucleotides) under Dorea sp. Its description in RNAcentral is "partial 16S ribosomal RNA". It matches the Rfam family "Bacterial small subunit ribosomal RNA", at positions 1 to 279 of the family's 1533-position model. Lineage: Bacteria; Bacillati; Bacillota; Clostridia; Lachnospirales; Lachnospiraceae. The record is from RNAcentral.
UUUAUUACGAGAGUUUGAUCCUGGCUCAGGAUGAACGCUGGCGGCGUGCCUAACACAUGCAAGUCGAGCGAAGCGCAUAAGUUAGAAUCUUCGGAGGAAGACAUAUGUGACUGAGCGGCGGACGGGUGAGUAACGCGUGGGUAACCUGCCUUACACAGGGGGAUAACAGUUAGAAAUGACUGCUAAUACCGCAUAAGACCACAGUACUGCAUGGUACAGUGGUAAAAACUGAGGUGGUGUAAGAUGGACCCGCGUCUGAUUAGGUAGUUGGUGGGGUAACGGCCCACCAAGCCGACGA